GAAUCUUCCGCAAUGGACGAAAGUCUGACGGAGCAACGCCGCGUGAGUGAAGAAGGCCUUCGGGUCGUAAAACUCUGUUGUUAGGGAAGAACAAGUGUCGGAGUAACUGCCGGCACCUUGACGGUACCUAACCAGAAAGCCACGGCUAACUACGUUCCAGCAGCCGCGGUAAUACGUAGGUGGCAAGCGUUGUCCGGAAUUAUUGGGCGUAAAGCGAGCGCAGGUGGUUUCUUAAGUCUGAUGUGAAAGCCCACGGCUCAACCGUGGAAGGUCAUUGGAAACUGGGGAACUUGAAUGCAGAAGAGGAGAGUGGAAUUCCAUGUGUAGCGGUGAAAUGCGUAGAUAUAUGGAGGAACACCAGUGGCGAAGGCGACUCUCUGGUCUGUUAUUGACACUGAGGCUCGAAAGCGUGGGGAGCAAACA
This 423-nucleotide ribosomal RNA is filed under the name uncultured bacterium. RNAcentral describes it as "bacterial SSU rRNA". It matches the Rfam family "Bacterial small subunit ribosomal RNA", at positions 359 to 774 of the family's 1533-position model. The record is from RNAcentral.